Non-coding RNA from Pelobates cultripes (western spadefoot toad), 157 nucleotides. The record is from the annotation of a GenBank genome assembly. Lineage: Eukaryota; Metazoa; Chordata; Amphibia; Anura; Pelobatidae.
GCUGACACAUUCCAGCCAAUCAGCAGCAGACCCUCCCUCCCAGACCCUCCCACCUCCUGGAAAGCAUCCAUUUUGAAGCUGCAUUCUUAGUGAGCUGUCCAGGAGGUGGGAGGGUCUGGGAGGGAGGGUCUGCUGCUGAUUGACUGGAAUGUGUCAG